CAGCGAUGGGGUGACGGAGUAGUGAAAGAUCCGCGAACUGACGGAAUAGUUCGUUAAAGGGUGUAGUUAUAGGCAGUGUAGGCAAAUCCGCACAGCUUGAUGAACCUGAUAGUACCACAAUGCUUCGGCAGCGUGGAUAGUGAUCCUAAUCAGACUUCCAAGAAAAACCUCUAAGCAUAUGGAUAUGGUACCCGUACCGCAAACCGACACAGGUAGUCGAGGCGAGUAGCCUCAGGUGAGCGAGAGAACUCUCGUUAAGGAACUCGGCAAAAUGACCCCGUAACUUCGGGAGAAGGGGUGCUGACUUUAAGUCAGCCGCAGUGAAUAGGCCCAAGCAACUGUUUAUCAAAAACACAGCUCUCUGCUAAAUCGUAAGAUGAUGUAUAGGGGGUGACGCCUGCCCGGUGCUGGAAGGUUAAGAGG
Molecule: ribosomal RNA, 423 nt
Filed under: Heterosigma akashiwo
Lineage: Eukaryota; Raphidophyceae; Chattonellales; Chattonellaceae
Description: partial Bacterial large subunit ribosomal RNA
Rfam family: Bacterial large subunit ribosomal RNA
Source: RNAcentral